This 448-nucleotide ribosomal RNA is filed under the name uncultured bacterium. Its description in RNAcentral is "partial 16S ribosomal RNA". It matches the Rfam family "Bacterial small subunit ribosomal RNA", at positions 29 to 522 of the family's 1533-position model. The record is from RNAcentral.
AACGAACGCUGGCGGCAUGCCUAACACAUGCAAGUCGAACGAAGGCUUCGGCCUUAGUGGCGCACGGGUGAGUAACGCGUGGGAAACUGCCUAUUGGUGGGGAAUAACGACGGGAAACUGUCGCUAAUACCGCAUGAGCCCUUCGGGGGAAAGAUUUAUCGCCGAUAGAUGUGCCCGCGUCCGAUUAGCUAGUUGGUGAGGUAAUGGCUCACCAAGGCGACGAUCGGUAGCUGGUCUGAGAGGAUGAUCAGCCACACUGGGACUGAGACACGGCCCAGACUCCUACGGGAGGCAGCAGUGGGGAAUAUUGGACAAUGGGCGAAAGCCUGAUCCAGCAAUGCCGCGUGAGUGAUGAAGGCCUUAGGGUUGUAAAGCUCUUUCGGGUGGGACGAUGAUGACGGUACCACCAGAAGAAGCCCCGGCUAACUUCGUGCCAGCAGCCGCAGUA